GAACGCUGGCGGCGUGCUAACUACAUGCAAGUCGAACGCUUUUGUUUUCACCGGAGCUUGCUCCACCGAAAACAAAAGAGUGGCGGACGGGUGAGUAACACGUGGGUAACCUGCCCUCAAGCGGGGUGAUAACACUUGGAAACAGGUGCUAAUACCGCAUAACAAUCAGAGUCGCAUGAUUUUGAUUUGAAAGGCGCUUUUGCGUCACUUGAGGAUGGACCCGCGGUGCAUUAGCUAGUUGGUGAGGUAACGGCUCACCAAGGCUGCGAUGCAUAGCCGACCUGAGAGGGUGAUCGGCCACACUGGGACUGAGACACGGCCCAGACUCCUACGGGAGGCAGCAGUAGGGAAUCUUCGGCAAUGGACGAAAGUCUGACCGAGCAACGCCGCGUGAGUGAAGAAGGUUUUCGGAUCGUAAAACUCUGUUGUUAGAGAAGAACAAGGGUGAGAGUAGAAUGUUCACCCCUUGACGGUAUCUAACCAGAAAGCCACGGCUAACUACGUGCCAGCAGCCGCGGUUAAUACGUACGGUGGCAAGCGGUUGUCCGGAAUUCAUUGGGGCGUAAAGCCGAGCGCAGGCGGUUCUUCAAGU
Molecule: ribosomal RNA, 592 nt
Filed under: uncultured bacterium
Lineage: Bacteria
Description: bacterial SSU rRNA
Rfam family: Bacterial small subunit ribosomal RNA
Source: RNAcentral